This is a long non-coding RNA of Diachasmimorpha longicaudata, 6526 nucleotides long. RefSeq lists it as uncharacterized. The record is from RefSeq and is a predicted model, not a curated record. Lineage: Eukaryota; Metazoa; Arthropoda; Insecta; Hymenoptera; Braconidae. The transcript has 4 exons.
UUGGGUGCCAGGGGUAUCCUGUUUUUUCCACGAAGGAGAGGCACUUGUGCCCACUUUUGUUCGACUGCAUUCACCACAGCCCUCUGCAUCAUUUUUUCACCCACAAAUCUCUCUCCAAUGGACAUAUUUUCACUCGAAAAACCUCUUGCCAGAGAUCAUAAGGGAGAUAUGCAGGGCCAAUCACGAGAGAUCAACCGGGGGGGCUCCGUUCGUACUUGUUCAACUGUACAAAUGGUCAACUGUACACAGGAUUUUCAAACGGUGAGAGCACCACUGUGCAGGGAUUCAACUGUCGAGAGAAAAAACUAGGCAUAGCCAUGUUACGUCCUACCCAAGUUACUAGCAGGACACUAGCGCUGUUUGUGUUAUUGAGCGCCAGAUUUUAAAAACGGGAUCCGUGAGCCGCUAAACCUCUAAUGAGGACUCCAUCGAAGUCUGUUUCUCCAGGUUGAGGGUAUGGACGAGGCUGCGGCCUAUCAUCAGUGUAUCUCGCUACUACCCAGUAAAACCGCAGAAAACCUGGGCAAUACUCUGACUUAUCCACCCUCAAUAACAAUACUUAUAUCUAGACUUACAAUUUUUGAAGUAUUAUUAAUAAUCCAAUGUUUCACGUUUCCACUCUAAUUUCACUUUAAUUUCACUUAUUGCCCUUUUUCAAUUUUCACUCAACACCACAAGAAAUUCUGCCGGAUGAAACUGCGUUGUCUUGUCAGUGGAAACUGCUUGGCUGCAACUGCCCUUGGAUCCUUUGACUGCGAUCACCGGAACUCUGCUUGGCUCAGCACCGUUGUCACGAAGAUUUCCAGAAUUUCCAAAUUCAAAUUCAAGAUUCGAUGGAUGCGGCUAUCCCACCGCUGUCACCAAUUGUUACGUCCUACCCAAGUUACUAGCAGGACACUAGCGCUGUUUGUGUUAUUGAGCGCCAGAUUUUAAAAACGGGAUCCGUGAGCCGCUAAACCUCUAAUGAGGACUCCAUCGAAGUCUGUUUCUCCAGGUUGAGGGUAUGGACGAGGCUGCGGCCUAUCAUCAGUGUAUCUCGCUACUACCCAGUAAAACCGCAGAAAACCUGGGCAAUACUCUGACUUAUCCACCCUCAAUAACAAUACUUAUAUCUAGACUUACAAUUUUUGAAGUAUUAUUAAUAAUCCAAUGUUUCACGUUUCCACUCUAAUUUCACUUUAAUUUCACUUAUUGCCCUUUUUCAAUUUUCACUCAACACCACAAGAAAUUCUGCCGGAUGAAACUGCGUUGUCUUGUCAGUGGAAACUGCUUGGCUGCAACUGCCCUUGGAUCCUUUGACUGCGAUCACCGGAACUCUGCUUGGCUCAGCACCGUUGUCACGAAGAUUUCCAGAAUUUCCAAAUUCAAAUUCAAGAUUCGAUGGAUGCGGCUAUCCCACCGCUGUCACCAAUUGUUACGUCCUACCCAAGUUACUAGCAGGACACUAGCGCUGUUUGUGUUAUUGAGCGCCAGAUUUUAAAAACGGGAUCCGUGAGCCGCUAAACCUCUAAUGAGGACUCCAUCGAAGUCUGUUUCUCCAGGUUGAGGGUAAUUGAAUUGUUGGGUAAUUCAAUAAUAAAUCAAUUACACAACUGCUUAGAAGAGCACACUAACACUUUAUUUGGUAAAAACUAACCGUAUUUUGGAUCCUCAUACAAAAGUUAUUCUAAUUACUGACCCUAAUUUAGCUCUUGAAAACUAAUUGAACAGGCUAACGGAGAGAAGCUGCUAGCAGGAUAAUUGUAUUAAUACUAACUUAUCUCAACUUAAACUUCUAAGGGUUGGGUCCAGUAACCCCCACUAGUCCAAAAGUGGCGCACGCAACCCUGGCCCAAGGGGCAUAUUAAAUCAUAAGAGAAAGAGGGAAACAAGGAGAGCGCGUGAUGUCACAGUUUUCCACAGAGAAUUCCCGGAUUCUCUGUUCAGCAGGACAAUGGACAAAGGAAAGCUCACAUGUGUUAAACACAUGAGACAGAGAAAUGUUUGAAGUAAACAGUACUCGAGUUUUAUGACUUUAGACCGUGACUUUUGAAUUUACUUUGUUUUUAUAUUUUAUGUUUCGAGGAACUGCCUUUCUGCAGUGCGUUUGGGAGAGUAAUAAAUUUGGAUUAGAACUCGAAUACUUGACACUUGAUUCUACGUUUUUGUGGAAUGGUUUUCUCACGCCCGUAAAUUUAUUUCUCCUUUGUUCAUUGUCCCGCUGUUUAUUUUUUGGCAUUCCUUCUGACUUUCUAAAAUUCCAUAUGGCGUUGAUUUAUCAUUUUGCUCUUUAUAAUAUUUUCAAAAUUCGCGGAUCAAAAUGGCUGAUAAAUAGUGCCAUCUACAAUAUUCAACCCCAGGACAUCACAGCCACAUCUGUACAGGCGGCGCAAGGUGGGUUAAACAGCGUCGACAAGGUAGAGAUCGAUAGUUUUUUCUCCCGACAGUUGAAUCCCUGCACAGUGGUGCUUUUGACCAUUUGUACAGUUGAACAAGUACAAACGGAGCCCCCCCCCAUCGGGACCCAGCGCUACAUGUACAGCUUACGUUUUUGUCUCGACAGUUGAAUUCCUGCACAGUGGUGCUCUCAACGUUGGAAAAUUCUCUGUACAGUUGAUCAUUUGUACAGUUGAACAAGUACAAACGUAGCCCCCCCCCGAUCAACGACGAAAUAUUCUAGCGGCAGCGCCGGAACUAAUUUUGGAGCCGGACUUGUCGGUACAGUACCGAACGUUACGGCUGCAAAAUCGGAGCAGAGGGAAAAGUCGGCAACGCUGAUAGCCUGGGGUGGGGGAAUACAAGUAAGUAGGGAAAUUAAACAGCUGGGCAGGCCUUCUGAAUAUCCGAACGGCGUUGAGGGAAGCUUUUCCCUUCAAGCACCGAUUACAGCAGAUUCGCCCUCAAUUUAAAAAUCGAUAUUGCCCGCUCUAAUUGAGAUCAAGGGAUGAAACCAACCUCAUUGGAUUGCUCAUUAAAUUGUUCAUUAAGGACGGCGGUUUCGUUUCUUAAUUCGAAUUAGGAGGGGAGAGAUUAAUUUUGAAAAAUGCAGCUUGACGCACAUCAGUUCUCGGCCGCAUUAAGCGAGAAUAUCCAAUAACUCCCCACGAUUCGAAAAUUCAUUUCUCUCCCUCUCCAUAAUAACAAACAACUCAAUUCCAAGUUCCACUUACUUGAUGCUCACACUACUAUUCCAUUUGACGGCUUAUUGGUAUUUGAUUUUUUCAGUCAGCACAGAUGUAAAAUUGACUAUGAACAUUGUAAUAUCACGAUGGCUUCGAUCGCAGAGCCUACCCAUUUUUUCAAAAUGUACCUCAGCCUAAAAGUAAAACCAUGAUUACAAUCGGUGCAAGAGCUGAGAUGAUCAUGAAAGUCAGUAUUUCAAAUCCUCACGGGUUGCAUGAAGGCGUAAUCCCCUCUCAGAAGAUUGCAAGUGAUCCAAAUCUUAUGAUUCCCAGUGCAACCAUUAAUUUAUCGAAUGAAUUAAAAACUAUACAAAUUCCUCAACUCACUGUACAACCUAUAUCCAAGGAGAUCACAAUCUUUAAAGUCGCUCCAGGAUUGAGUGAAAAUAGUCGCGAAAAAAGUAUUAAAAUUUUGAAAGAAAUUCCCGAGGAAGAAACAGAAGCAAAGUCAAUCCAGAUCACUUACAAAGCUGUACUUGAAUUUAAUUACAAGGACUUUAUUAAAAUUCACUACACGAAUCAAAAUGUCAUUGAAUCUUCAAAAGAUAAUACCCCUUUAACUCAAACCAAAAUUCAUGUGGUUCUACUCUGGUUCCAAGAACUUGAUGAAAGUAAUCAGUACUCUGAUUAUAUUUCCAAUAAUUUUGGUACAAGAGAAUUGAAAUCUGGCAUCAAUGAAAUUAACAAGCUAAAAAGUAACGAUCAAACUUUUUAUUUACUUUAUGCAAAGAACUGUCAUCACGAUAAAUUUAAAUAUGGAGACAUUUUUGAAAGUUUGAAAAAUCUCAAGAAAUUACUAAAUAAUAAAUCGUUUGUUUUUGUUCCACCCGUGAAAAGUCCCAACAUCCAAACUCAACUCUUAAAUAAAAUGUUGAAAUUCAUAUUUCCACAGUCAGAUAUUAGAUUGUUCAACAUCAGUAAAAUUACUCCCAAAACUAAAGAUGAAAUCAAAAUUAUCCUCGAAGAAAAUCAUUCUAGCAAAUUAGCAGGACAUUAUGGUUUCAACAAGACGUACGCAAAAAUCAAGGAACCCUACUACUGGACUACUAUGAAAAAUGAUAUUCGUAAAUCCGUAAAAUCAUGCCAUUCUCGCCAAUUGAGCAAAACAUUUAACCACGACGCCUUAUCACCCACAAACCCUACGGUGCGUUGGAAAGAUCUCACUUGACAAUCAUACAGCAGACAUAGAAAUAGGCAAUAAAACAAUUAAAUACCACACUAAUCUCCGGAAACGGUAUUUCCCAGAUGAUCUCUAAAUUCCUUCCACUUCUUUUCCCCUUACUCCUAGUUGAGUGGCUUCAUUAUAAUAUUCGUCCAUUGAAUGAUUCGAACGCGAUACUCUUUUAUGAGAAAGGCACCGCGCAAAUUGCAAAUUCUAAAUUGACACUCAUAAACCACAUUGAUUAUACACACUUGAAUAAGGCUCGACAAAUAUUAACAAAAAACUCAGCAUCCACACAAAAAUAUUGCACUAGACUACGAAAGGAAUUACCCCAAAUACAGGAUAGCAAUUUCCAGUGCGAACGCAGUCUAGAAAUAAUUAACAGAGAAAUAAAUGCAAUUCAUGAAAAAUAUAAAAUCUUGCAGCAAUUGACCAUAGACCCGUCGAAACGAAAACGUCGCUCACUGAUCAAUGGAGUUUUCCAAGUGUUCGGUAGAAUUAUUUGAAUAGAAGAGUUAAUAUAUUGUUCUCCAGUAUCGUCUAGAAAAUAAGGACCCAUUGUAUUCAAGCUUUUCAGUCACAUGUAGUGCACAGACCCACAAAAUGUAUCCGUAGAAAUUUAGAAAAACUACAAUAAGGGACUAGUCGUAAAACUGUAACUUAACUCCAGCAUAGCUAACCUUUUGAGAAAUUUUAUUACCCUUAAGGCUCGAUUGCAUGGUCAUCUAUCAACUUACAGUUUAGAGAGAAAGAUAGAUUUGAAAUAUAGGAAACAGACCUUUUCUGUUUUCACCAAACGUUGCACUCACACACACCCUCCAUUUUACAAAAUUCUAGCCAAGAUAGAGAAGUUGAAAGAAAGUCAGUGCGCACUGCAACCCCGAAGCGACCGCUCCGCUUAAGACAGGGUCAAUUAAAUUGAAAAGACGAAGUGACCGUUCCACUUCAAAUAAGUCUUGAUCCAAGCAGAUUCACUGCUUGGGCAUACUCAUGAAAACGUUAUUGUAGCCCAACGCAGAAUUACCAUAACGGGCAUUUUAAAAUGUUAAUGGACGACAUUGCUCCAAACGUUCAAUAAAUAAAAUAAUAUACACAAAAACAGUGUGAGGUCAUUGAGUUGUGCUCUCCACAUAUAAAACAGCAAGUAUUUAAUUGGUUUUUCGAAUAUCAUACCGUGGCUGAUUAUAAUGAUAAUAUUGAACUAUUUAAAAAUGAUAACCAAAUGCGGAGUGCAAUCAAAUCACAGAAUCGAAUCAUCGCAAACACCAUGAAAAAUUUCAAUGACUCGUUCAGUCUUAUCAAAAAUCAAGAGAUUACAAUGAAUAGCAAUUUGAAAAAAAUUGAUGAAGUUUCAGCUCAAACAAAUUUCCGGCUUUCUGCCUUGAAUCUAGAAACUACACUUAACGAUCAAAUUUCAAGACUGUUUACCUUACGUUCAAUCAUUUUGAAAGAAUCUAAUCAAUAUAUCGAAACUAUUAGACUUGCAUUACAUAAUAUAAUUUCACCAUCAAUCAUCACUCCUCAAAUGUUCUACGAAGAAUUGAAUAAGUAUGAAGACCAAUCAGAAUUUAUGGUAAAACCAGACCCUCAAAAUAUUGCGUCAUUUGACAAAAUUUCAGACAUUCAAGUCUCCAUAACGAAAAACAAUAUAAUUUUUAAUCUCAAUGUUCCAUUAGUUACCAAAAACGUUUUCACUAUCUAUCAGAAGAUCAUGUUUCCAAUUUUGAAUGAAUUAUUUUCUACCUUCACAUUUAUCCAAUCAAAAAUCGAUUACCUCCUUAUGUCCCAAUUAAAUUCCCAAUUCUUAAACCUUCCAUCUCUUUCGCAACGUAAAGAGCAUCUGAGUAGAAGGUACAUUUGCUAUGGACAACAUAUCAUCGAGACAUUAGAUCGACCCAGCUGUGAAGUCCAACUUCUCCUCUCUCAUGUCGACCGUAUUCCGAGUUCCUGCGAAAUUACAACAACUAGAGCAAUCGCUGAAUUUUGGCAUUAUCUGGAUGCCAACGAAUCGAUGUACACCCUCCAGAAGUCUACCACCGUGACAGUAAUUUGUAACGGCAAACCACGAUAUCAUAUCGAAGAUUUCGUUCUCCAUGGACCCGGAAUCAUCCAACUUCACAACUGCAGAGGUUAUACCAACACCCAGAUCCUUGAAACGAGUAGCCAGUAUUAUAGGAACUCUGGGUGAUGUUCCUAUAAUACU